Molecule: unclassified non-coding RNA, 360 nt
Filed under: Pouteria eugeniifolia
Lineage: Eukaryota; Viridiplantae; Streptophyta; Magnoliopsida; Ericales; Sapotaceae
Description: partial contains external transcribed spacer and 18S ribosomal RNA
Source: RNAcentral
UCCUGUGUUGCUUACCUAACAUGAUGGAAAUUGAUCUCGGAUGAGUCCUAAUUUUAGCCUCUCACCACUUGGUGAUGUUAGGUCGAUGUGAAGUACUGCCCGUUCUCCUUGAAUGCUUUGCCCUUCCGCAUUGUACUCGUGGCCCAUGGGUAGCUACUAGUUUCCUCGGAUGUAAAACUUUUAAAAGGUGCACAGCAUGUUGCUGUUGCUUACCCACAAAACGUUCACAGCUUGAUGCGUACGACGCCAUGCCCGCGUUAGUCCCCGUCUUUAACUAGUUUGGAUGGGGCUCAUUCGGUGUCGGCAUCGUAGAGGAAUGCUACCUAGUUGAUCCUGCCAGUAGUCAUAUGCUUGUCUCAA